Molecule: ribosomal RNA, 390 nt
Filed under: Eugerdella huberti
Lineage: Eukaryota; Metazoa; Arthropoda; Malacostraca; Isopoda; Desmosomatidae
Description: partial 16S ribosomal RNA
Rfam family: Bacterial large subunit ribosomal RNA
Source: RNAcentral
CUCCCCGAUGUAUCGGGGUCUGCUCUGCUCCAUGAUUUUAAAUAGCUGCAGUAUUUUGACUGUGCUAAGGUAGCAAAGUCAUUAGUUCCUUAAUUGGGAGCCGGAAUAAAUGAGUUGACGAUGCUCGGUUUUUCUAACUGAGGGGUAGAAAUUGAUAUUUGUGUUAAAAAGCACAACUUUUUGGGUAGACGAGAAGACCCCGUAAAGCUUUAUUUUAGGGGGGGAGUUUUAAUUCAGCAGGAUAGGGCAAGAACAUAGAAUUGAGCUGGGGCGGCAACUGAUACACCUUAAGUAGUGGGCACGUUUAUACGCGGCGAGGAAGAUCUUUAAUAAAGAUAGAAAAAGCUACUUUGGGGGUAACAGCACUAUUUUUUCCUAUAGUUCUCAUAG